GACGAGGGAUGCAAGCGUUAUCCGGAAUCACUGGGCGUAAAGCGUCUAUAGGUGGUGAUGCAAGUCACUGGUGCAAAACUCUGGCUCAACCGGAGGAAAGCCAGUGAAACUGCAUGACUAGAGUGUGGGAGAGGUAGAAGGAAUUCCCUGAGUAGCGGUGAAAUGCGUAGAUACAGGGAAGAACACCGGAGGCGAAAGCGUUCUACUGGAACACAACUGACACUGAGAGACGAAAGCUAGGGGAGCGAAGGGG
This 253-nucleotide ribosomal RNA is filed under the name uncultured bacterium. RNAcentral's name for it is "partial 16S ribosomal RNA". It matches the Rfam family "Bacterial small subunit ribosomal RNA", at positions 524 to 776 of the family's 1533-position model. The record is from RNAcentral.